AUACGGAGGGUGCAAGCGUUGUUCGGAAUUACUGGGCGUAAAGCGCGCGUAGGCGGUCUGUUAUGUCAGAUGUGAAAGUCCUUGGCUCAACCGGGGAAGUGCAUUUGAAACUGGCAGACUUGAGUACUGGAGGGGGUGGUGGAAUUCCCGGUGUAGAGGUGAAAUUCGUAGAUAUCCGGAGGAAUACCGGUGGCGAAGGCGACCACCUGGCCAGAUACUGACGCUGAGGUGCGAAAGCGUGGGGAGCAAACAGGAUUAGAAACCCCGGUAGUCC
RNAcentral lists this ribosomal RNA (274 nucleotides) under uncultured bacterium. Its description in RNAcentral is "partial 16S ribosomal RNA". It matches the Rfam family "Bacterial small subunit ribosomal RNA", at positions 523 to 796 of the family's 1533-position model. The record is from RNAcentral.